UUACCCUAACUCAUGGCCCAUUUUCUUCUCUCUCACCUUCAUCUACUCUCUCUCUCUUAAGGGAAUGUUUGGUUCGCCGAAAGUGAAGCAUCGAAAGUGGCACUUUUAAAAAGUGACACAUAAUCGGUUGUUUGGUUUGCGAAAGUGAAUAUGAAAGUCACUUUACGAAAGUGGGCUGAUAAAGUUAGUUAUAACUAAAUCUCACUUUUUUUAUUUUGGCUCAAAAAAUUCGAAAGUCACCGAAAGUGGAGAGCAUAACUACAAGGUUAUAUUUGGUCUUAACUUUAAUAUUUAAAUUUAU
This 301-nucleotide long non-coding RNA is filed under the name Ananas comosus (pineapple). RNAcentral describes it as "long non-coding RNA (ACOM_LNC039388)". The record is from RNAcentral. Lineage: Eukaryota; Viridiplantae; Streptophyta; Magnoliopsida; Poales; Bromeliaceae.